CACCCACGCCCACGGCUGCGGUCAACAGAACACGAGGUGGGGUUGGAAAGCCCCGGGUUUCACCGGGCCUAACCGCCCACUUCUUUGCAAACGCGGCACGGUAAGAGCCGCUCUGCCUCGAGGUUCCCCGAUAUGGCCCUUCGUUUGGAUACUGGAACUCCCUUUCCAGCCAGAGCCCCGAGGCCGAGAAUCAGCCGCAGGAGGUGCGCUCCCUCAUCCCCACUACACACGCUGCAGCCACAGACCGCAGAAAUCCAGGUGGAGACAGGUCGAGAAAAACAGGGGACUGUUCAGCUGCACCUUCAUCUUAAGCAACAUAUGUGCAUUGAUGGAGCUUACCUGGUGCCAAGAAAGUGGUGAAAGGCAUGGAAAUAAGUCUCUGCACCUCAUCUACAUACCCGCACUCAGGAGAUGGAAGCAGAUGAGCAGCACUGGACUGACCUGCCCGAAGAAAUGUUCGACUGCACAAGCAUAGCCUUGGGGUGAGUCUCUGCCUCAAGAACAGGCUGAUAAACUCACUCUCAGUCACACAGGCUUUGGGCCUUCUAACUCCAGCCUCCUAGACUCAAAACCCCAGGUCAGCCCUGGAGACAGUCACAGCAUACUGCUGAUUCUCCCUUAUGCUUGCCAUUACUUCAUGCAAGAGUGCCCAGUGUGAAUGGAUGCCCUCCUCAGGCCCAGUCCACCACGGCUGGAGAUUGGGAUGUGUUACACAAAGGAGCUG
RNAcentral lists this long non-coding RNA (724 nucleotides) under Bos mutus (wild yak). RNAcentral describes it as "lncRNA (ENSBMUG00000025140.1)". Lineage: Eukaryota; Metazoa; Chordata; Mammalia; Artiodactyla; Bovidae. The record is from RNAcentral.